CCUGGUGGUUAUAGAACUGGGGCUACACCCGUUCCCAUUCCGAAUACGGAAGUUAAGCCCAGUAUCGCCGAUGGUACUGCCCUGGAGACGGGGUGGGAGAGUAGGACGCUGCCAGGU
This 117-nucleotide ribosomal RNA is filed under the name Candidatus Kaelpia aquatica. Lineage: Bacteria; Pseudomonadati; Candidatus Omnitrophota. The record is from RNAcentral.